GUGUCAGCCGCCGCGGUAAUACGAAGGGUGCAAACGUUGCUCGGAAUCAUUGGGCGUAAAGCGCACGUAGGCGGCUUCGAAAGUCGGAUGUGAAAUCCCAUGGCUCAACCAUGGACGUGCACCCGAAACUGCGAGGCUUGAGUACUGAAGAGGAUCGCGGAAUUCCCGGUGUAGAGGUGAAAUUCGUAGAUAUCGGGAGGAACACCAGUGGCGAAGGCGGCGAUCUGGGCAGAUACUGACGCUGAGGUGCGAAAGCGUGGGGAGCAAACAGGAUUAGAAACCCUAGUAGUCC
Molecule: ribosomal RNA, 292 nt
Filed under: uncultured bacterium
Lineage: Bacteria
Description: partial 16S ribosomal RNA
Rfam family: Bacterial small subunit ribosomal RNA
Source: RNAcentral